This is a long non-coding RNA of Ictalurus punctatus (channel catfish), 2074 nucleotides long. RefSeq lists it as uncharacterized. Lineage: Eukaryota; Metazoa; Chordata; Actinopteri; Siluriformes; Ictaluridae. The transcript has 4 exons. The record is from RefSeq and is a predicted model, not a curated record.
AUCCGAUGGGUCAGCAGACGUGAGAACCUCCGCCAUGAGAACACACGCAGCUGUGUAACGUGCUGUAAAAGCAUCCGCUUGGUGUGGAGUGUGUCUAAACCUCCGAGGUGUUUCACCUCAGCACGGGUUUACUGUUCUACUGUUUAACCCUCAAGUAAAUUCUCAAAAUAAACUAACAAACCUUCAUUGACUGUUACUCACUAACACCAACUGAACAAAUACUACACACACUCACACUCCUGGACUUCACUUAUACUUUUUUACUUCUUAAAUAGUGUUUAUAGAGUUAAAUCUGAAUUAAAACUGCAUGUUCUUUACUUCUCAUUGGAGCACUGAAGCUCCUCCCACUUCAUCAUUAUGUCGUCACACGGUGCACGUGGUCUCCGAUUGCGAAACUACACCGCUGCGUUAUCUACCGUCGCCGACGCCGUGACUGACGUUUACACCAAGCACCACAAUGGUCAAAGUGCUAGGACAUGAUCUGUUUAUUAUAUCUGGCAAGUGUGUGCGUGUGUGUGUGUGUGUGUGUGUGUGUGUGUGUGUGUAACAGGAUCUAAUAUAAACCCUGUUCAGGUCAAUAUCCACACUGAUAGAACACGAGUGUCCUGUCAGUACAGCGGUUUACAGCUGUUACAGUUUCCCCCGACGGUUCGUGAGUUCUGGAUUGUGAUUGGUCAGAACCGGAGGCCUUGAUUCAUUUUCUAUAACAGCAGCUCUGACGGUAAAUCACAGGUUUAUAUGAAGGCGUUAUCGUUUCUACGGUAACGGCUCUUUCGUCUCCGGGGUCAGCGCUUUAAAGUAGUCACCGACGCGUUCCCCGGGCAUUCCAGAACGCUCACCGUAACUAUGAACAGAUCAGAAGUGUGACGGGUCGGCGUUAGAUAAAUAAACCGCCGGCGUUGGGAAAUUUGGGAAUAAAACACCGGGGGACGCACUGUUACGGGAAAAUAAUCAACCCGGGUAGGGUGGACUGACUCGGACUCACACACCACCCUGGUGAUUUACUGUGACAGCACCACACUCACACACUCACACACUCACACACUCACACACUCACACACUCACACACUCACACUGUUUAUUCUGUCCUGAGGUCAUUUUUUCAGUGAAACUGGAGUUAAUGAGUAACAGGUAUCGAGUGGGGCUGAAACCCGACACUAAAAUAUCCAGCUAAUAAAUGAGGAAACGUCGUAUAUAAUAAUAAUAAAGAGGUUUGUGUGUGUGUGUAAAAAUAAAUAAAUAAAUAAAAACUACGUUCUAUUUAUGGUUAAAUACUAAUUAUUUUACUUGUUAAUAAUUUUAUUGUUAUUAUUAUUAUUAUUAAGUCUACUAUUAAUCUUAAUUGAUAUUCACUUUAUAUUCUUGUUGAAACUACGUAUAAAAGGAAAAGUAAUGAAUAGAAGUCUGUAGAAGAAUAGUUUAUGAAGUGUUGGUUAUGAAGUGUGAUAAUGAUGAAUCAUCCCUUCACGUCAGACUUCAGGAAAUAAACAGAUCAAACAUCAGCGGCUGAGAAACCAGGCCGUGCUCCAGGCGUGUCUUUAAAUCAUUCUACACCUGCUCCAGGCUCCCCCAACGACCGCACCCCGCCACCGCACCCCGCCACCGCACCCCGCCACCGCACCGGGACCUCGCUCUCAACAGCGUUACCGUGGUUACGGGUACUGUCUAACUCCACCUGUCUGUCUCUCCCCCCACACACAGGAUGUCUGUGGGUCCACAAAGCUUCGUUCCUCAGUAUAAUCCCUGGAAGCCUCAGCCUCAGAUGGACGCCCUGGUCUCAGCUCUGUGGCAUGGCCUCUGUCCUGACACUAUAAUGAAAGACGAUUAUGAAUCAGUGCAUAUAUUUGCCCAGCUGUCCAAUCACAGGAAUGCAGUCAUGCAAACCAUGUAUACACACAUCUUCGAUCUGGUGAUUACACACCUGCCAGACAACAGAGACAGCAGGAACAGUAAGGGUGUGUUAUACAGCUUUCCCAGCAAUUAAUCCAUCUGGCACAAAUGUAAGUGGACCUUAAAAUCAACAUUUGCUGAGGACGUGGUGGGGAAAAAGCCAGCGCCUCUUACAACAUUUCAG